This 405-nucleotide ribosomal RNA is filed under the name uncultured bacterium. Its description in RNAcentral is "bacterial SSU rRNA". It matches the Rfam family "Bacterial small subunit ribosomal RNA", at positions 362 to 758 of the family's 1533-position model. The record is from RNAcentral.
UUUUGGACAAUGGGCGAAAGCCUGAUCCAGCAAUGCCGCGUGCAGGAAGAAGGCCUUCGGGUUGUAAACUGCUUUUGUCCCCCACCCCCACGGCCUUUUCUAAUAAAGAGGGCUAAUGACGGUACCGUAAGAAUAAGCACCGGCUAACUACGUGCCAGCAGCCGCGGUAAUACGUAGGGUGCGAGCGUUAAUCGGAAUUACUGGGCGUAAAGCGUGCGCAGGCGGUUCUAUAAGACAGAUGUGAAAUCCCCGGGCUCAACCUGGGAAUGGCAUUUGUGACUGUAGAGCUAGAGUACGGUAGAGGGGGAUGGAAUUCCGCGUGUAGCAGUGAAAUGCGUAGAUAUGCGGAGGAACACCGAUGGCGAAGGCAAUCCCCUGGACCUGUACUGACGCUCAUGCACGAAA